Molecule: non-coding RNA, 104 nt
Organism: Canis lupus familiaris (dog)
Lineage: Eukaryota; Metazoa; Chordata; Mammalia; Carnivora; Canidae
Source: Rfam
AGGAGCAACAGCCCUAGUGGCGGGGCCGCUCUGGAAACCUGGAGUCAGCUCCCGCAGGAACUCCGGAGCUCUCCGUCUGCAGGGCCUGGAGGCUCCGGGCGGGG